AAACACACCUCCAAGACUGAAGUCUCGUUUUUCUAACGAGCAACAGACAAACACGUGCCAAUCGGCAUGUUCAUUUGCUCUUUAAGUGGAGAGGAUGGAGGAGAUUGGAAAGAAUAUUGCAGAAGGAAGAAAAAGGAUGGGGUUCCACAUGCCCCCCUUCUCCUCAGUCCCUCAUCUCCAAGUCAUCGCUCCUGCCAGUCAGAUGAGCAUCAGGUCACUCAGUCACUAUGGGCCGCAAUCCUAUUGGUUCAUUACCGUGAGUGGAGCAGUAACCCCUCCCACUUCACCAUUGGGGGUUCUUCAUUUUUAUGUCUAUGUUUACCACAUUCAAAUGUGUCUUUGCUCUAUUGUUGAUGGACAGAGUGGUUCAGCAGCUGAGGACCCAUAACCAGGUCAAAUAAGAAUAUACCUGGUUUAGCAGGACACAACAGCACUGGGCUUCCAAGAUCCAUGUCACAACUCUGACAUGGCUGGCAGUGGCUGCAUUCCCGCCUUAUACUUGACAUGCACGCUCACUAAUCUGAAGGACUGGUUUAGUUCUAUUUAUGUGUUUUUACUAAACCUCUGUAUUUUUGUAAGUUCUGAUGGGGUGUUACGAUAUGCAUUUAUUAUUAUACACUAAGGGAUAGUACACUAAGGGGGGGGGGGGCUUGUACAACUCAAGGUGUCAACAACAACAAAAAAUGCACCGCUCUCCCCAAUGUAAAAAAUAUUUUCACAUGACACUCCCCUUGUACUGUAAAACAAAAAUUGCACACCCUCCCCCCUCAUAGAAUUAACUCUAAAGAAUGUUUAC
Long non-coding RNA from Salmo salar (Atlantic salmon), 796 nucleotides. RefSeq lists it as uncharacterized. The record is from RefSeq and is a predicted model, not a curated record. Lineage: Eukaryota; Metazoa; Chordata; Actinopteri; Salmoniformes; Salmonidae.